RNAcentral lists this unclassified non-coding RNA (296 nucleotides) under uncultured fungus. RNAcentral describes it as "partial contains small subunit ribosomal RNA, internal transcribed spacer 1, and 5.8S ribosomal RNA". The stretch from base 1 to 73 matches the Rfam family "Eukaryotic small subunit ribosomal RNA", at positions 1759 to 1831 of the family's 1831-position model. The record is from RNAcentral. Lineage: Eukaryota; Fungi.
GCAAACUUGGUCAUUUAGAGGAAGUAAAAGUCGUAACAAGGUCUCCGUAGGUGAACCUGCGGAGGGAUCAUUACCGAGCUCUCGCCCCCCGGGCGGAUCUCCCACCCACUGUGAUCGCUACAGAUGUUGCCUCGGCGGGCCGCCCAGGCGCGCCGCCUGGGCCCACCGGCCUCCCGGUGUGCGCGCCCGCCAGAGGCCCCCCCAAACGCUGAUGUGUAGUGUCGUCCGAGUCCUAUACAAUCGUGAAAACUUUCAACAACGGAUCUCUUGGUUCUGGCAUCGAUGAAGAACGCAGC